RNAcentral lists this ribosomal RNA (256 nucleotides) under uncultured prokaryote. RNAcentral's name for it is "partial 16S ribosomal RNA". It matches the Rfam family "Bacterial small subunit ribosomal RNA", at positions 522 to 777 of the family's 1533-position model. The record is from RNAcentral.
AAUACAGGGGGGGCAAGCGUUGUUCGGAAUUACUGGGCGUAAAGGGCGCGUAGGCGGCCAACUAAGUCACACGUGAAAUCCCCAGGCUUAACCUGGGAACUGCGUGUGAUACUGGAUGGCUUGAAUUCGGGAGAGGGAUGCAGAAUUCCAGGUGUAGCGGUGAAAUGCGUAGAUAUCUGGAGGAGUACCGGUGGCGAAGGCGGCAUCCUGGACCGACAUUGACGCUGAGGCGCGAAAGCUAGGGGAUCAAACGGGA